AUAGUCUGUGAUAGAAUUAAAGCUGUUGACAUCACUAUAGAUAGUCUGUGAUAGAAUUAAAGCUGUCUGAAAACAAUGAGAGCUCACAACACAAUUGACAUUGAGAACAUCACAGGGUGUAUGAAGGAGAAACAUGGACAGUGGAAUCACCCAUCAAUAGGGCUAUAAAGACAUAAAUAUUUUAUUCAAAUUAACCAAUUCCAAAUUUACUAGAGGUAAAGUUGUCAGAGAUGGGAAAUACAGG
Long non-coding RNA from Physella acuta, 244 nucleotides. RefSeq lists it as uncharacterized. NCBI's taxonomy places the organism in Eukaryota, Metazoa, Mollusca, Gastropoda, Physidae. The record is from RefSeq and is a predicted model, not a curated record.